UGUUUAUUGAAGGUUACCAAAAGAUAAAUAAUGUCAAAAUUAAGAAUCAAUUAAGCUUUCCACCACACCUUUGUCUUUGAGGGUUAACGUUUUAGUGUGAAGUUUUAGGGGUUAGUGUAUAAAUUGGUAUACUUUGAGUGUUUAGGAUUUAUAUGUUCACAUAAUGAUGUAUUCUUUGCAUUUUUUAGUUUGUAUUGAUUAUAUGAUCAUUUUAAAAUGUAGAUAUAUCAAAUACAAGUUUACACCAUCCUAAAUCAUCUCAAAAUCGAUCAACAUCCAUGCUGUUCUUACUUAGAGCCAUAUUUUUCGACAUAUCUAGUGGAGAAAACUAGAAAAAAAAUUCGACUAAUUAUAUCCAUUCGAUGGAGAUGAUUCAACGGUGGAAAUUAGUUUUUUAGGUUAUCCUCGUCCUUGUCUCUCAUUGGUCGACGAGGCUUUUCGGAGGGAAAGCCAAAAUUUCCUUAUUUUGGGAGCCAAAGUAAAUUUUAUUGUCUUUAUCGCAUUCUCUCCUACCCUCAAACCACCACAAAUCUCUCUUAAGCCACCACGAUUCUAUCUCUUAAUCCACCACGAACCUCUCCUUCCAUCUCAAACCACCACAAAUCUGUGUAAGCCACCACGAUUCCAUCUCAUACCAUCACAAAUCUCUCCAACCUUCUCCACCGCCACCAUUUAGGUUACAGAGUUCUCUGUCCUUACAGAUCCACAAAGAUUUGAAGCCUUACAGAUCUCAAAGAUAUCUCCAUUUCCAGCAAAUCUAAUGGAAGCAAGGAAGGUCAUCGUCUGUGCACUCCCGGCAGCCGGAGUGAAACCACAACUCAAACCAGAACAGACACAACAAGAAGCAGUCAACACAGCUCCACCACAACGAGGACAGUCCUCACGAGGAAAUGAUGUAGAUGAGAUAACCAGAGCCGAGUUCAGAAGCUACCGGUUGAUACGCAUUGAGGAACCUAAAGAAGACAUCGACCCAGACUACCUGCGCUAUCUCCGAGCAAUAGGUGCCUACGACUCUGCUCCACCACAACAAGGACGGUCCUCAGGAGGCAAUGGUCGUCGCUAAAACAUCGACCCAAUCUUCCUGCAACUCACAAUCCAUGGGUUCUCGUCACUACUAUAAUUACCAUUGCUUCAGUAUGUUGUAUUUGCUUAAGUAUGUUUUGUUAAUUUGCUUCAGUACAAUGUUUUUUUUUCUUGAAUGUUUGUAAUGCGUGUCUCUCUAAUCUAAAUUUGAAUUUUAAUUAUA
Brassica napus (rape) is the source of this 1246-nucleotide long non-coding RNA. RefSeq lists it as uncharacterized. The transcript is spliced from 3 exons. The record is from RefSeq and is a predicted model, not a curated record. Lineage: Eukaryota; Viridiplantae; Streptophyta; Magnoliopsida; Brassicales; Brassicaceae.